This 498-nucleotide ribosomal RNA is filed under the name uncultured bacterium. RNAcentral describes it as "partial 16S ribosomal RNA". It matches the Rfam family "Bacterial small subunit ribosomal RNA", at positions 30 to 523 of the family's 1533-position model. The record is from RNAcentral.
AUUGAACGCUGGCGGCAUGCCCUACACAUGCAAGUCGAACGGUAACAGGUCUUCGGAUGCUGACGAGUGGCGAACGGGUGAGUAAUACACCGGAACGUGCCUAGUAGUGGGGGAUAACUACUCGAAAGAGUGGCUAAUACCGCAUGAGAUCUACGGAUGAAAGCAGGGGAUCGCAAGACCUUGUGCUACUAGAGCGGCAGAUGGCAGAUUAGGUAGUUGGUGGGAUAAAAGCUUACCAAGCCGACGAUCUGUAGCUGGUCUGAGAGGACGAUCAGCCACACUGGGACUGAGACACGGCCCAGACUCCUACGGGAGGCAGCAGUGGGGAAUUUUGGACAAUGGGCGCAAGCCUGAUCCAGCAAUGCCGCGUGCAGGAUGAAGGCCUUCGGGUUGUAAACUGCUUUUGUACGGAACGAAAAGCCCCGGGUUAAUACCCUGGGGUCAUGACGGUACCGUAAGAAUAAGCACCGGCUAACUACGUGCCAGCCGCCGCAGUAA